UGGUGAUAAGAAAUACUAGAGAAUGAAAAGUGACAUGGGACAUGGAAACCAGGCGGUUCAGUCUUUUGAGAAGACAGAAGCAGCAAAGAAAAUAAAUACUAUGACACCACAAUCCCUAGUUACCAAGAAAUAUUGCAUGAAUACUAAAAUUGCUUGGGCAGAUGGAAAAGAGGCCCUUUGUCGGAUCUUGUCUUCCAGUCAAUUUUGAAUCAAGAAAGACCCAUUGAUGACUCCUUUGAGAAGAGUCUGUUUUGAGGAAGAAGGAAAUACAUUUGAGAGAAGGCAUACAGACCAAAAGGGUCAUAGAAACAUGCGUCAUGUGCUCGGAGCACUGAGAACUUCCCAGAGUGAACACUGAGAACUAAGUAGGGACUGAUUAAAGAAUGACUGCAUUUUGUGAGUUUUGAAGGAAAAAUGCUGGUCUUCUAAUGUGGACAGUCAGACCUAGAACCAUGUGUCGAUAUCAGCUCUGCACGUCAGCACCUUCUUUGUGCUCUGUGAAGGGUGUCAUGCUUGCUUUCUUCUCAGCAGUGCUUCUAAGACAAAUGAAAAUGAUAGUGUCUGCCAAAACCUGGAAAAUACAGUCUGUAUGUUUAUUACUAGAGCUUUGCAAUGUAUUCCUCUUGGCAUUUAAAAAUUUUAUAGUACUCAACACCAAUUAUGACCUUUUGUCAAUAAAUAUUAAUUUCUCAAAAU
Long non-coding RNA from Nannospalax galili (Upper Galilee mountains blind mole rat), 696 nucleotides. RefSeq lists it as uncharacterized. Lineage: Eukaryota; Metazoa; Chordata; Mammalia; Rodentia; Spalacidae. The record is from RefSeq and is a predicted model, not a curated record. The transcript has 2 exons.